GACUUAUGAAAAGGAAUUCUUAAGCUUUGGUAGCUACUAACAAACAAACAAUGCGAUCGACUUAUCUACUCUUAGCAGCGGUGAUACCAUUCAUCAUCCUUAAUAUUUGGUACACAGGAAUAUGUUUAUGGUGGAUUAUAAAAAUAUCUAUUGUAACAUAUAUCAUUUUAUUUGGUAUACUACCACUCAUAUUUCAUUACUCUUACACAGUACAAAGAAAAAUACUUUUCUUAAAUUUUGUACAUUGGCCACUUAACACAGAUUUUUCAAAGCCAGAGGAUCUUGGCUUGAAGGGAGUUAGGAAUUUUUACUUGCAUACUGACGAACAUGUUAAAUUAGGAGUAUGGCAUAUAUUGCCACAAUCAUUAACAAAUGAUUCAUUUAUUGGAACGAACGAAGCGUUUGAAGCUUCAUUAUAUGACAGUAAUAAACCAGUUUUUUUAUAUAUGCAUGGAAAUAGUGGAAACAGAGCAAGCAGACACAGAUUAGAACUUUAUAAACUUUUCCAACAUUUGGAUUAUCAUGUUAUAUGCUUCGAUUACAGAAGUUACGGAGAUAGCGAUGAAGCAGAUCUUUCAGAAAUAGGUAUUGUCAAUGAUACUAAAUAUAUUAUUAAAUGGGUAAUGGCUAAAGUUAAUGGUAGUGCGCCUGUUUUUGUUUGGGGACAUUCUUUGGGUACUGGGGUGUCGACGCAUGCAUUAGCAUUAUUAUCUGCUAUGGAUGUAAUACCUACAGGUUUGAUACUCGAAUCACCUUUCAAUAAUAUUGUUGAUGAAAUAAGUGAACAUCCAUUUGCCCAGAUGUUUAAACAUUUACCAUGGUUCCAUUGGCUAAUUGUCGAGCCUUUCUGUCAUAAUGGUUUACGAUUUGAAUCGGACAAACACAUUGAAAAUGUUACAUGUCCUAUUGUGAUAUUACAUGCUGAAGAUGAUAAUGUUAUUCCAUUUUAUUUGGGUGAAAAGUUAUACAAAGCAGGAUUGAAAUAUCAUAACAAUGAUACGAAUCAAAUCAAAAUGUUUCGAAUAGAUGCAUCAUAUGGAUUUGGACAUAACUAUAUUUGUCGAUAUAAGGCAUUACCAAACAUAAUUGAGCUUAUAUUAAACAGGAUGGCAUAUAUAGUGUAGUAAAAUAAAUGUUAAAAUUGGCCUAAGACGACAAAUACUUUUUACACAUAAUGCGUAUAUUACGAAGAGUAUGAAUCAUCGAAUUUGCGUAAUUAUGCAAUGAGACAUUACUAAAUGACACAAGACUAAAAUUAGUAUAUAUAUACAUUUAGUAUAACGCACACAUAUUUUUGAUUAAAAAAAGUAAAGAUAAAGGAUGUACUGCAGUUGAACUCGAUUUAACUCUUACAAAAGACAACAUUCCAAUAGUAUUCCACGAUGCCAAU
RNAcentral lists this unclassified non-coding RNA (1390 nucleotides) under Polistes dominula (European paper wasp). Its description in RNAcentral is "monoacylglycerol lipase ABHD12-like, transcript variant X5". The record is from RNAcentral. Lineage: Eukaryota; Metazoa; Arthropoda; Insecta; Hymenoptera; Vespidae.